RNAcentral lists this small RNA (1983 nucleotides) under Pyricularia oryzae. RNAcentral describes it as "Magnaporthe oryzae sRNA M_BR32_EuGene_00128191". The record is from RNAcentral. Lineage: Eukaryota; Fungi; Ascomycota; Sordariomycetes; Magnaporthales; Pyriculariaceae.
AUUAUUAUUAUUAUUUUUAUAUAAAUAGCAAAUUUGCCAUUUAUAAAGAAAACUACCGCCCAAGUACGUGGCCAUAUUAAUUAUCGCGGAAAUAAUACAAAUAACAAUACCGCCGAAACGCAAACCGUUUCAAAAUUUAUUAUUAUAUAACGGGGCUCCGACUUUGUUUUUAAUUUGGCGGUAUAUUAUAAAAUAUAACUUUCGCCGCGACGCGGAUUUUGUUAAUAAUUACGGCAAUUUAUAUAAGUGUUUAUAUAUAUAAUUGGAGAUAUUUGUUUAAGAAAUUAUCCAUUUUUAGUUUAAAAUAGGCGGGAAAAAUAAAACGUAUUAAUUUAUAUAUUUCUUUAAUUAUUUAAAACGUAUUUAUUAUUAAUAAUUUUUAUAAACGGGCCCAAAUUUUAAUCGAAUUGGAAACGUUAAAAAUAAAAUUAGUAAUAAUAAAGUUGUGGAAGUAAGUCCAAGGGAAAAUUAAUUAUUCAUCCAAUUCAUUACGGUUUUUAAAAACCUUUUAAUAACGGCCGGAAAAUUAGCCUGGUUAAAUGAAAUUUGUAUUAAUUCUUUUAUAUUUCCGCGUAUUUUUUAAAGUUCGGAAAACAUACGUUAAAUAAAUAUUAAAAAGAAUAUUUAUUUUGAAAUAGCAAUUAUUUACCAGUAAAUUAUUAAAGUUUAAAAACGAGCGAAUUAAAUAAACGUUCCCAACUUUACUGCGCGGUUACUGUUCCAACUUUUAAAAUAAUAGAAUACAGAAAUAUAAUUUUGAAUAAACGUGGCCGUAAUAAAAUGUAAAUUUAGCAAAAGAACAAAAAACGCUGUGAAUUUAAAUAAGGUCAAUUUUCGAAUAUUAAUAAAAAAAUACGCAUUAACGCGUUUUAUAAACUUUUAACAAUAAAUAAUAACAGAAAUAUAACAUAAGAGCGUAUUUGCGUAACGGUAAUUUAAAAUAUAAAAUAACGGACUAUAUAUACGCGACAAUCUUACAUUUAAUUAUAAUAUUAAUUAUAAUAAUAACGGAGAUUUCCGGGGGAAAAAACAAAUAGUUUUCAAAACAAAAUUUAAUUUAAAACGGGGGCCUUAAAACGCGAAUAAAAUAAAAACGGGUAAAGAAUUAAGGAAAGAAAAUAGCAAAAUCGGUUAAAUUUGAAAUUUUAUAAAUGGAUCGCCUUUUUUAUUUUUAUUUUAUAAAGUAAUUUACAAUUUAUAAAUAUAAAAAUAAGUUCAAAUUGCAAAUAUUACGCGAUAAUAUUUAAUAAGUAUAUAGUCCGGUUAAAAACAGGAAAAAUAUUUUUACCCUGCGCACGCCAAAUGGGGACGACGGUAAAACGCGCCCAAUUAAUAAUUAAAAUAUUAAUCAAAUAUAAAAUAAAUGUUAAUAAAUAAAUAACGAGUAUAUUUUUUAAUAUUAUAUUAGAAUUAAUUCAAAAUAUAAUAUUAAAAUUAUUUUAUAUAAUUUACCAAUAAAUAUUAUUUAACGCAAUACGGAAAAAAAUUAAUUUUAAAUAUAAUGAAAAAUCGAUUGGUAAAUAAAUUGUUUAUACGGUUUAUUUUAACUAAACCCACGGUAAUUUUUAAAAACGGGUUUUAACUAUAUAUUAAUGGAUGAAAAAUAUAAAAGCGAAUAAAUAAAAUUUGGGUUAAUAUUUUUCCGAAAAAAGAAUAAAUAUUUUAUAAAUAAUAAUGUUAAUUAUAUGUAUUAUUUUAUAUAUAAUUGGCCCACUUUUGCUUAUAUAUAGCCUAUAAUAUAUAAUUCCAGAAUAGGGUAAUUGGAAUUCUGUUAAUUUAUUAAUUGCAGGAAUUGCGAUUUUAAAAUUAGCGAAUUGAAUUAAUUACCUUGUACCGAAUUUAAUACCCAUUUUAUACCUGCGAGUUAAUUACCCUGUACCGGGUUAAAAAACUUAUUUUUGCGUGCAAAUUUAAAAAUGAUUUAUUAACAAAUAAAAAUAGUUUUAACAAACCCAUAUAAAUUAAUUUUUCGAAAAUUUAUAU